Molecule: long non-coding RNA, 730 nt
Filed under: Gossypium barbadense (sea-island cotton)
Lineage: Eukaryota; Viridiplantae; Streptophyta; Magnoliopsida; Malvales; Malvaceae
Description: long non-coding RNA (GBAR_LNC023220)
Source: RNAcentral
GAAAAUAAAACCAAACCCUAGGCUAUCCUCUCUCCGCCGUUCCCAGCCGAAACAACAGCCCCUUCAACUCUGAUAUUAACAGAGCAGACAAAGGCCGACGGCGGACUAGUAGAGGUAAAUCUUCUCUCCUCCUUCCUUUCGUUUUAUAUUUUAAUAAAAAGAUGAUAAAACCAAGAGCAAAAAAAAAAGAUAGAAUUUGAAAAAUCAUCUUGAAAUAACAAAGCUAGUUGAUUUGUUUUUUAUAUUUUCGUAUCCAGUAUCCGUUUUACAAAUUUGCUAUUUUCUCUUAUUAUUUUUCUAUUAUUCUGUUAUUUCUUUGCAAGGAUGCAGCCAAUCUGGAGGCAGAGGCUCACGUGGGGAAGGAGCGGCGCGCUGGAGGCUUGUAGGCUAGGGUUUCUGCAGGCUUAGUUUGUUUACAGGGCUAGGUUUAACUAGGUUUACUUUAUUGGGCUCGGGGUUAAUUUGAGUUUUAGAUUUAGUGUUUUGGGUUAGAGUCUAUAUUAGGUAGUGAGUUUGGGCUUUAAAUUUGGGUUUGUAAAAAUAAAUUGGGUUGUUUUAUUAUUUUAUAUUGGACCGGGCAAUAUUAGGUCAUUACAUAAAUAUUGAUAAAAUUAUAUCGUAUCGAUAUUAUCGAUAAAAUUAUUGAAGAUAUUACCUUUGUACUGUUUUGAUUUUUGUGCCCGAGAUGCAAUCUUUCUCCUUGUUUAGAGCCCAUGUUUGUAAGGCGUGC